UACGUAGGUGGCGAGCGUUGUUCGGAUUUAUUGGGCGUAAAGGGUCCGCAGGGGGUUUAUCAAGUCUGAUGUGAAAUCCCAAGGCUCAACCUUGGAACUGCAUUGGAAACUAGUAAACUAGAGUAUCGGAGAGGUAAAUGGAAUUCCUGGUGUAGCGGUGGAAUGCGUAGAUAUCAGGAAGAACACCGAGAGCGAAGGCA
Molecule: ribosomal RNA, 200 nt
Filed under: uncultured bacterium
Lineage: Bacteria
Description: partial 16S ribosomal RNA
Rfam family: Bacterial small subunit ribosomal RNA
Source: RNAcentral